Mercenaria mercenaria is the source of this 1953-nucleotide long non-coding RNA. RefSeq lists it as uncharacterized. The record is from RefSeq and is a predicted model, not a curated record. The transcript is spliced from 2 exons. NCBI's taxonomy places the organism in Eukaryota, Metazoa, Mollusca, Bivalvia, Venerida, Veneridae.
CUGUCACAAAUUAGAUAACUUCGUACUUUUUCAGAUGAAUUAUGUUUGUAGAUGGCUACCGUUCAGUUUAAACUUCGCGGAUUGACUGGAAAAGAGUGUGUUUAUUGAAAGCAUGUGGAAGUUCUAGCCGUUUUUUUUGUAUAUUUCGUAGGAAUCGACUCGAAAUCAUUUUUGUAUACAUGAACAGAAUGGACUCGAAUACGACAUGGAUUAAAUAUCGUGGUAUUUUGUGAAACUUUUCAUCAUUUUCUUUUUUUAUUUUUAUUUUUUCUUGCUAUUUGAGGGAUUUUAAUGAAAUAAAAAGUGUUAAUGCUUGGAUUGAUGCUUACAAGUGGCGACCGUGAUCUGGUCGUUUCUUGCAGCAGUGUGCAUGAUGUUUUUGUUCCGUUGGGGACCUUAUAUCUAUAAACAUAUAUAGGCCUAUUAUGUAAAAUAUUUGAUUAUGUGUCUAGCACCUGUGGAAUCAGAGGUGGAGGAAGAAUGAUUUUAGACACAAUGUCUUUUAUCAAUCGUCACGGAGAACAUACGCCGCGUCCAGAGUUCGAACGCUCUCCCUAUUGAGCUAAGCGGGAGAUGAGAUGAUGAUAGCGGUUAGAACAAAAAAAUAAACAUCGUUGCAUCCUGUAAAAUUCAUUGCUCUUAGGAGGAGAAAACCUUAUCCGCAACGUUUCAUCUAUUUAUUAACUGCAUGGAUGGAAAAACAUUACCACAAAGCAAAGAAAGAUCUAGACGGAGCUACAACAUUGGGCACGUCAGAGCGCGAGUAACAAAAAGAUUCAUCUACUAAAAAGAUAGAUGGUGACUUCGUCUGUUAUGGAUAUUCGAUUUCACUGUCUGGAGCAAUGGUACGUAGAAAGGUAACACCACCUAUUAUUAUCCUAAACCGGGUUUGGCCACUAACAAGACUGGGCUAAAAAUAUUCUCUUUGUUCAAACCGUACACUUCUGGCAAUUACAUUUUGGUUUCCUAUGCAUUCUGAUUUGAAUGUACGGUCAUCUUCUACGGUCCUGAUAUGAAUUAUCUCAGACAAUCUUCAAAGUGGUAUGCUGUCAAGCUGAAAGCCGACUAAGAUACAAAGGCACAGUUGGUACUAUUGCAGCGAGUAUCCAGUCACUUGACACAAACACGGUCAAUAGCAAAGCAAAAACCUAGAUGCUAAGAUAGGAUUAAACAUGCUGAAAGGACAGUAAAUGAGUAGCCAGAAAAACAAAUGAUUCAUGAACCAAAAGUUGACAUGGGCAGAUUCUAACGCUCGACACCGCUUCAACCCCUGUUUCAGCCAAGUUAUGUAACGGUGGGCAGUUAGUCUAAUCAGUGUUCCUGGAGUCUGGACCAGUACUAACCUGUUCUCCGCAAGUAACUGCCAACUUCCCCACAUGAAUCAGAGGUGGAGGACAAAUGAUUUCAGACACAAUGUCUUUUAUCAGUCGUCACGGAGAACAUACGCCGCGCCAAGGGAUCGAACUCAUUACCCGCGAUCCUUAGAUCUGCGCUCUACCGAUUGAGCUAAGUGGGCGGACUAGUGGACAGCAAGAUGAGAUGAUGACAGAGAUUAGAACAAUAAAACAUCGUUGCAUCCUGUACAAUUCAUUGCUCUAAAGAGGAAGAAACCCUUAUCCAAAAUGUAUCAAGUAUUUUUUAACCACAUGGACGGAAAGGCAUCACCGCAAAUAAAACUCAUGGACAAGCAAAGAAAGAUCUAGACAAAGCUACAACAAUGGGUAGCAGAAUAUUUUAUUAAUAACGUCAGAACGCGGGUAACCAAAAGUUCAUCUACUAAAAAGAUAGAUGGCGACUUCUUCUGUUAUGGAUAUUCAAUUUCACUGUGUGGACAAAUGGUACGUAGAAAGAUAACACCACCUAUCGUUAUCCUAAACCGGGAUUGGUCCACUAACAAGACUUGGCUAAAAAUAUUCUUCUUGUUCAAACCGUACACUUCUGGCAAUGACAAUU